Long non-coding RNA from Gadus macrocephalus (Pacific cod), 996 nucleotides. RefSeq lists it as uncharacterized. Lineage: Eukaryota; Metazoa; Chordata; Actinopteri; Gadiformes; Gadidae. The transcript has 9 exons. The record is from RefSeq and is a predicted model, not a curated record.
CAGUUAAGUUCAGGAAAUGCUUCGCGUGUCGCGCUACGUGACGCGUUCCUCAUGUGCUGCGUUCCUCCUGCGACCGACCAGUACUUAAAGGAACUGGCCCACGUUGUCUCCUUCUCUAUCAUAUCAAGUCCUCUGGUGAGGUUGGAUGGGCAUGGAGAUGGUGUCUGGGAAACCAAAAUAUUCCACUCUACUUCAUUUAUGCAUAAUAUGGGCAGUCUUGAAUUUAAAUCCAAGUGUGUUGGUUUUUGCGUAAUAUUUAGCUUAAGGUGGCAUUGUUAACUGAUCAGCGUGUAGGAAUACGAAGGCCUAUGAAGCACGCGGUGAGCUUCGAGUCUUAAAGGUGGGGAAGGCGGCCGUACUACAGACAUGGUUCUGCAGACUGGUGCAGUGAAGGGUGGGGAAGCCGGCCGUACUACAGAAAUGGCUCUGCAGACUGGCGCUGUGAUGGGUGGGGAAGCCGGCCGUACUACAGAAAUGGCUCUGCAGACUGGCGCUGUGAUGGGUGGGGAAGGCGGCCGUACUACAGACAUGGUUCUGUAGACUGGUGAUGGGUGGGGAAGGCGGCUGUACUACAGACAUGGUUCUGCAGACUGGCGCAGUGAAGGGUUGGAAAGGCAGCCGCGUUUCAAAAAAAGGUUCUGCAGACUGCUGGAGUGAUCGAUGGACGUGUUGCACUCUGACCUGGUGACAUGCUAGUGAUGCUGGAGGUUCUUCAUGGUGGAAAAGGUUCUGCCAUAUGGAUGAUUCUCUGCCCAGGUGUGUAGACUCGUGAACAGUUUGAUGUGCGGCCCAUCGAUGUUGUGAUGAAAUCUUAAACUAAUGCUGGAAUUACCGGCAGAUUGUUUAGUGGUGAUAAAUAGUUUUCUGAACCUCCACAUGGUGACUUGUAUUGGUCCAUGGGUUUCUGUAUGGUACUAAUUGUACAUGUUCCUUCUAGAUGGAUGUGUUGGACUCUGGACCUGGUGACCUAGUGAUCCUUCAGAUGUUCUCAUGGUG